CCUCCUGAUGCCAGUUCGUUGCGUUCUCUGUGUUCCCUCGUUCCAGCAUUAUUAUUGAUUUUGAUCUUCGUGUAUGACCCUCGCUGCCGUUUUGACCUUGCCUUGCCUAGCCCUCUGGAUUUGUUUAUUAUUACCUUCUCGUGUACCGAACUCUGCCUGGAUGAAAGGACUGAUUUAUAACUCUACCUCUGAGUCUGCGUUUGCUCCAUACCGUGACCUGAGUCUCCUCAGAAGGUGAAGUCUGCUCUGGCCUUUCUCAUAGAAAGCUUGUGUGUUAUCAGACCAGUCCAGCUUAUUGUUCAGAUGAACACCCAGGCAGACUUGGCAAUGCAAGAAGCCUGUUUCCUCCUGCAAUGCCUCGCUUGGCACAAAUGGAGAGAGAGAAAGUGGAGGGCUUUGAACUGAUUAUGCUUGGUAAUUUUGAUUGAACUGUUUUCCAACAAGGCAAACAGAACAUCCCCGUCCUUUCAUUGUGUAUAAACCUCCUCUGGCUUGUCUCCUCCUGAAGACCCGAGCACCUGAGCCAGUUUACGAUGAAUGAUGAGCCCUCAUCUCCAUCGCCCCUGGACAGUCUUCUUUCAGUAAGAGGAGACUGGCUCUGAAAGGACUAUUAUCUCAGUGCUGCCUGCUGUACAGUCACAGUUGCCCACUGUGUGUGGGCUCGCUCCUGUCUGUCUGCAUCUGCUGCCGUGUCUAUCUGUUCCAGCCUGCUCGGGGGAUCGCCUGUCAAACUGACUGGCUGUAGACGGUCCUGGCUCAGCUGGUGCAUCUGGCACUGCUGCAGUAAACAUUGACUGCUGGGUUGUUUCCCCCUGCUCGGUUACAAACACAAUAAAAGGUUUGGUGCAAUAUGAUAUCAUCCUAGAGCAACGACAUAUCAGUUUAAUGUUGCAUUCGAAAGAGAAGACAAUAUGUAAUGAUGUGGGCCAAACAGAAUAACAAUUUGAAUCAGUUUUCAUAUUCUGUCUUUUUUUUAGUAUGAAAAUCUUUUUUUAAGCACAAAGCCUCAGCCAGCGUUUAGUCCUAUUCGACAGCAUUCACACCAGCAGACUAUAAGCACCCAAAGUGCACAUAUAGUCUCUUAUUUCCAGAGGUACAUCUAUGUGGAAGUGUCCUAAACCAGCAUUCUCUUUGAUGGUCAGCAGGGGGCGACUCCACUCGUUAGAAAAUAUGUCUGAUUGCAUAGUUGUCUAGAGCCCAUGAGUUUACAUGUCACAAUGUUCAGUAAACAUUUCCUUAAUCA
This is a non-coding RNA of Labrus bergylta (ballan wrasse), 1243 nucleotides long. NCBI's taxonomy places the organism in Eukaryota, Metazoa, Chordata, Actinopteri, Labriformes, Labridae. The record is from RefSeq and is a predicted model, not a curated record.